GAGUUUGAUCCUGGCUCAGGACGAACGCUGGCGGCGUGCUUAACACAUGCAAGUCGAACGGGAGAGGACUUCGGUUUUCUCUAGUGGCGAACGGGUGAGUAACACGUAAGGAACCUGCCCUAGAAUCGAGGAUAACCACGGGAAACUGUGGCUAAUACUGGAUAGGAUACGAGAUCGCAUGAUUUUGUAUUUAAAGACGCUUUCGGGCGUUGUUCUAGGAGGGCCUUGCGCAGCAUUAGCUAGUUGGUAGGGUAACGGCCUACCAAGGCGACGAUGCUUAGCUGGACUGAGAGGUUGAACAGCCACACUGGGACUGAGACACGGCCCAGACUCCUACGGGAGGCAGCAGUAGGGAAUUUUCGGCAAUGGGCGAAAGCCUGACCGAGCAAUGCCGCGUGAACGAAGAAGGCCUUCGGGUCGUAAAGUUCUGUUGUUAAGGAAGAACGAGUGUAGUAGGAAAUGACUAUACUGUGACGGUACUUAACCAGAAAGCUCCGGCUAACUACGUGCCAGCAGUCGCGGUAAUACGUAGGGAGCGAGCGUUAUCCGGAAUUAUUGAGCGUAAAGCGUGCGUAGGCGGCUUUUUAAGUCAAAUGUGAAAUCCCACAGCUUAACUGUGGAGGGUCAUUUGAAACUGGAAGGCUAGAGUACGGCAGAGGUUAGUGGAAUUCAAUGUGUAGCGGUAAAAUGCGUUGAUAUAUUGAGGAACACCAGUGGCGAAGGCGGCUAACUGGACCGGAACUGACGCUGA
This 751-nucleotide ribosomal RNA is filed under the name uncultured bacterium. RNAcentral describes it as "bacterial SSU rRNA". It matches the Rfam family "Bacterial small subunit ribosomal RNA", at positions 9 to 749 of the family's 1533-position model. The record is from RNAcentral.